UUUUUUCAUUUAUUGUUGUGCUUUUAUAAUGCUCGUUUGUUCGUUUUUUUUUCCUAAAACCAAUCGCUCAGACUAAAACACCGUACCAGCUUUAGUAUGACGUCAAGAUGACAUAUCAAUGUCAUCUAUCCUUGUUUUGAUUGGCUAAAAUACCAUCUACUUGAAUUCCGAUUGGUUUAUAAUUUUGGCACUUGAAUGGCUUUUAUUCAACUGACAAUCGCCAUGAAGAUGUUAAAUUCGUAAAUACUUACUUUCAAGUUCUAUAAAUUCAGGCGUAUAUUCCUCACGAUUGGAACAGCCUUCCGGCACACACCGCUAGUGCCAGUUCAUUACUUUUAAGACCUUAGUUUCGAAAUAGAGCUGUAUAGAUUAUUAUAAUGUAAUGUUUUAGUCUUAUUUAUUUAUGUAUAUUAAUUUAUCUUGGUAUAAUGCAACUCAGCUUACAGUAACCGAGCAUUAAAACUGAGAAUUCGUGGUCUAACAAGCAAUUUGAGCAUAACAACAUCCUUUGAUAUUCUUCGUUCUCUCUUUACUUUAUUGACAGCGUUGAGAUAUUUAAUCAAGGCUGACAAUCAAUCAAUCAAUCAAUGAUUUAUUUUUGCACUAUUUGAAGUUGAGUUAAUGCUUUACAAAGUGGACUUGGCAGAUUAGAAAAUAUUAGUUAAAUGAAAUUUUGUAAUGAGAUUAGUGUGCGUAGUGACGAAAGGAGCGAAAAGCUUUCGAGUUGGUCACUAUCACAGUUAUUCGUACCAUGAGAAUUCGGGAAAGUUCAUUUUACAGUAUUUUUAUAAUUAUCUGUUUUUGUAUAUUUUUCUAUACAUGUGUCGCUACACUAAGAAAUAACUAGCUAACCUGGACUGGACAAAAAAAAGAUAUAUAAUAAUAAUAGGAAUGAAAAUUAAAUAAAUAAAUAAAUGCGAGUACUAUGAUCGGGUCAACUCAUCACAAGCUACCCCUGGCUGCCAAGGUAAAAGUGCUUUAUUUGUCUAAGGAAGGACCUAUAGGGAAGUUUUUUUUAUAGGCAAUGGUAUUUCUGUCCCAUAUUUUUGAAGAUAUGGCAGAAAAUCUCGACAGCCCAACAUUAGUUCUAGAAGCUGGUCUGCAUAAGUUGCCCUCGGAUGCAAAUCUUGUGUUAUGACCAUGUAUUUCCGAUGAAGGUAAAACUAAAUUUGAUAGGGCUUGUGGGGUAUUGUUCAUUGGGUCUUUUAAUUUAUGCACCAGAGAGGAAACUUUGAUUUUGAGUAUAUUAUCCACAUUGUGAAUGUCUAGUAGUUUGUAAAGUUGAGAGACACUCUCAUCUCUUGUGGCAAAUAACAUUGUUUUUAUGCAUUUAUUUUGUUUUCUUUUGAUGGUCGAGAGACGAGUUUGGCAUGCGGUUCCCCAGCUCAUGAUUCCAUAUGAAAUGUAGGGAUAGAUUAGGUUGUAGUAAAGCCGCUUUAGAAGACUUAUGGAAAUAAGAUGUCGCAAUUUGUAAAUGAUGCCCAGAUUUUUUGGUAUUUUGCUGUUUAUAUGCAGGAUUUGGGGUUCCCAUUUAAGGUGAUUGUCAAUAAACAUGCCAAGAUAUUUAAUAGUACUUUUGUGCUCGAUAUCACAGGCUGUGACGGUGAUACUAACUUUCUUCCUAGGUGAUUUAAUAAUCAUGUAGUUAGUUUUCUAAAAGUUAAUGGAUAAUUUAUUUGCAUUGCAAUAUUUGAUUACAUUUAAUAGUUCAGUGUUAAUGGUUAUCUCAAAAUCUUUAAGAUCUUUAGAUGAAUAGAAAAUGUUUGUAUCGUCUGCAAAUAUCCUGAAUUACAGUUUUUUUGAGGAGUGUGGGAGGUCAUUGAUGUAUAGAAGAAAAAGCAAAGGUCCAAGUGUUGACCCGUGUGGGACUCCGCAGGUAUUUUGUUGAAGGUCCGAUUCAGUGUUUCCUAAUUUGACAAACUGUUUUCUUUCAUUUAGGUAGCUUGAAAACCAUUUUUGUGGGGUACCCCUAAUUCCAUAUUUGUACAUUUUAUCAAGUAAAAUGUUAUGGUUUAGGGUAUCAAAUGCCUUCGAGAAAUCAAGGAAAAUACCACAGGUUAAACCAACCAAGGACUACCUGAGGGUCAUGCUUGAUGCUAAAGGCUGGAAGACAUAAGAAUAGGCAAAUGUAGCCGGGCUUUCUUACUUUGAUACAGCAGUAUAGGUGUAAUAGGGUUUUUAGAGAAAGAUGCUUUGUGUCAAUGAUACUGUAAAUCUGUAACACAUUUUUUAUCAACCUGAAGAUAACGAGGAAAGGGGGAAUGAUAGGAGAGUGCUCAAUCAAGUUGUUGCAAUACUGUUAAAGUUUUUAUCAAAAAUAUAGUCCCAGUUUCUUUUUUCUCUCUCUAUUGACUAUUUUUAUAUGCAAUUGACAAUUAUUUGCAGUUACCCCUCUGCACCCUGGUUUGAAAUUAGACAUUUUCAUUUAGCACUAAUCAGUAAUAUCAAGUUUGCUUUUAAUUUGCUUCCCAAGUCUAUUUGUUCUCCUCCAUUUGAUUGCAUUUAAUUUUGCAGUAGCAUUAGCAUGUGUGGAUCCAGCUGCAGGGUUUCUAUAAAAUAAAAUAGACAGCAGGCCACCAUGCUAAAGGGUGGGUUCACCAAUAUGUAAUGCAUGACUGAGGUAUAUUUGUGGAUUUUAAUUUCCUUGGUGAUGGAGUAUCACUAGUAAAUGGCAAAUGAAGUGUAUCUAACUAUAUCAUUCUAUAUUUGGAAUGCUGUUUCAUCCAUUAUUUGUUUCUUUGCAAGGGCAAAGCCGGUCAGAAUGCACCUAGUGCUACUGUAGUAGUGUAUAUGAAUGGAACUUCUAUAAAAGGGUUUUUAUUAGGGCAAGGUACUUACUUAAUAAAUUAUAUAAAGAUAA
Nematostella vectensis (starlet sea anemone) is the source of this 2860-nucleotide long non-coding RNA. RefSeq lists it as uncharacterized. The record is from RefSeq and is a predicted model, not a curated record. Lineage: Eukaryota; Metazoa; Cnidaria; Anthozoa; Actiniaria; Edwardsiidae. The transcript has 3 exons.